This 235-nucleotide ribosomal RNA is filed under the name uncultured bacterium. Its description in RNAcentral is "partial 16S ribosomal RNA". It matches the Rfam family "Bacterial small subunit ribosomal RNA", at positions 99 to 334 of the family's 1533-position model. The record is from RNAcentral.
CGGACGGGUGAGUAACGCGUGGGUAACCUGCCUCAUACAGGGGGAUAACAGUUAGAAAUGGCUGCUAAUACCACAUAAGCGCACAGGACCGCAUGGUCUGGUGUGAAAAACUCCGGUGGUAUGAGAUGGACCCGCGUCUGAUUAGCUAGUUGGAGGGGUAACGGCCCACCAAGGCGACGAUCAGUAGCCGGCCUGAGAGGGUGAACGGCCACAUUGGGACUGAGACACGGCCCAG